UGACCUCGGAUCAGGUAGGAAUACCCGCUGAACUUAAGCAUAUCAAUAAGCGGAGGAAAAGAAACCAACAGGGAUUGCCUCAGUAACGGCGAGUGAAGCGGCAACAGCUCAAAUUUGAAAUCUGGCCCCAGGCCCGAGUUGUAAUUUGCAGAGGAUGCUUUUGGCGCGGUGCCUUCCGAGUUCCCUGGAACGGGACGCCAUAGAGGGUGAGAGCCCCGUCUGGUUGGAAACCAAGCCUUUGUAAAGCUCCUUCGACGAGUCGAGUAGUUUGGGAAUGCUGCUCAAAAUGGGAGGUAUAUGUCUUCUAAAGCUAAAUACCGGCCAGAGACCGAUAGCGCACAAGUAGAGUGAUCGAAAGAUGAAAAGCACUUUGAAAAGAGAGUUAAAUAGCACGUGAAAUUGUUAAAAGGGAAGCGUUCAUGACCAGACUUGGACCGGUUAAUCAUCCAGCGUUCUCGCUGGUGCACUUUGCCGGUCCAGGCCAGCAUCAGUUCGCCGCGGGGGAUAAAGACGUCGGGAAUGUGGCUCUUCGGAGUGUUAUAGCCCUUCGUGUAAUACCCUGUGGUGGACUGAGGUUCGCGCUCUGCAAGGAUGCUGGCGUAAUGGUCAUCAACGACCCGUCU
Molecule: ribosomal RNA, 623 nt
Filed under: Memnoniella dichroa
Lineage: Eukaryota; Fungi; Ascomycota; Sordariomycetes; Hypocreales; Stachybotryaceae
Description: eukaryotic LSU rRNA
Rfam family: Eukaryotic large subunit ribosomal RNA
Source: RNAcentral